UACGAAGGGGGCUAGCGUUGUUCGGAAUCACUGGGCGUAAAGCGCACGUAGGCGGGUCUUUACGUCAGGGGUGAAAUCCUGGAGCUCAACUCCAGAACUGCCUUUGAUACUGAAGAUCUUGAGUUCGGGAGAGGUGAGUGGAACUGCGAGUGUAGAGGUGAAAUUCGUAGAUAUUCGCAAGAACACCAGUGGCGAAGGCGGCUCACUGGCCCGAUACUGACGCUGAGGCACGAAAGCGUGGGGAGCAAACAGG
Molecule: ribosomal RNA, 253 nt
Filed under: uncultured bacterium
Lineage: Bacteria
Description: partial 16S ribosomal RNA
Rfam family: Bacterial small subunit ribosomal RNA
Source: RNAcentral